This 68-nucleotide transfer RNA is filed under the name Ictidomys tridecemlineatus (thirteen-lined ground squirrel). Its description in RNAcentral is "Spermophilus tridecemlineatus (thirteen-lined ground squirrel) tRNA". It matches the Rfam family "tRNA". From Rfam's summary of the family: Transfer RNA (tRNA) molecules are approximately 80 nucleotides in length. Their secondary structure includes four short double-helical elements and three loops (D, anti-codon, and T loops). Further hydrogen bonds mediate the characteristic L-shaped molecular structure. tRNAs have two regions of fundamental functional importance: the anti-codon, which is responsible for specific mRNA codon recognition, and the 3' end, to which the tRNAs corresponding amino acid is attached (by aminoacyl-tRNA synthetases). tRNAs cope with the degeneracy of the genetic code in two manners: having more than one tRNA (with a specific anti-codon) for a particular amino acid; and 'wobble' base-pairing, i.e. permitting non-standard base-pairing at the 3rd anti-codon position. Lineage: Eukaryota; Metazoa; Chordata; Mammalia; Rodentia; Sciuridae. The record is from Rfam by way of RNAcentral.
GGGAUUGUGGCUCAGUGGUAGAGCGCUCACCUAGCACGAGUGUGACCCGGGUUCGAUUCUCAGCACCA